AAUGAACGCUGGCGGCAGGCCUAACACAUGCAAGUCGAACGGAUCCUUCGGGAUUAGUGGCGGACGGGUGAGUAACGCGUGGGAACAUACCCAAAGGUACGGAAUAGCCUCGGGAAACUGGGAGUAAUACCGUAUGUGCUCGAAAGAGGAAAGAUUUAUCGCCUUUGGAUUGGCCCGCGUUGGAUUAGGUAGUUGGUGGGGUAAUGGCCUACCAAGCCGACGAUCCAUAGCUGGUUUGAGAGGAUGAUCAGCCACACUGGGACUGAGACACGGCCCAGACUCCUACGGGAGGCAGCAGUGGGGAAUCUUAGACAAUGGGGGAAACCCUAAUCUAGCCAUGCCGCGUGAUCGAUGAAGGCCUUAGGGUUGUAAAGAUCUUUCAGGUGGGAAGAUAAUGGCUGUACCACCAGAAGAAGCCCCGGCUAACUCCGUGCCAGCAGCCGCAGUAA
RNAcentral lists this ribosomal RNA (449 nucleotides) under uncultured bacterium. RNAcentral describes it as "partial 16S ribosomal RNA". It matches the Rfam family "Bacterial small subunit ribosomal RNA", at positions 29 to 523 of the family's 1533-position model. The record is from RNAcentral.